RNAcentral lists this ribosomal RNA (1263 nucleotides) under Staphylococcus aureus. Its description in RNAcentral is "bacterial SSU rRNA". It matches the Rfam family "Bacterial small subunit ribosomal RNA", at positions 105 to 1354 of the family's 1533-position model. Lineage: Bacteria; Bacillati; Bacillota; Bacilli; Caryophanales; Staphylococcaceae. The record is from RNAcentral.
GGUGAGUAACACGUGGAUAACCUACCUAUAAGACUGGGAUAACUUCGGGAAACCGGAGCUAAUACCGGAUAAUAUUUUGAACCGCAUGGUUCAAAAGUGAAAGACGGUCUUGCUGUCACUUAUAGAUGGAUCCGCGCUGCAUUAGCUAGUUGGUAAGGUAACGGCUUACCAAGGCAACGAUGCAUAGCCGACCUGAGAGGGUGAUCGGCCACACUGGAACUGAGACACGGUCCAGACUCCUACGGGAGGCAGCAGUAGGGAAUCUUCCGCAAUGGGCGAAAGCCUGACGGAGCAACGCCGCGUGAGUGAUGAAGGUCUUCGGAUCGUAAAACUCUGUUAUUAGGGAAGAACAUAUGUGUAAGUAACUGUGCACAUCUUGACGGUACCUAAUCAGAAAGCCACGGCUAACUACGUGCCAGCAGCCGCGGUAAUACGUAGGUGGCAAGCGUUAUCCGGAAUUAUUGGGCGUAAAGCGCGCGUAGGCGGUUUUUUAAGUCUGAUGUGAAAGCCCACGGCUCAACCGUGGAGGGUCAUUGGAAACUGGAAAACUUGAGUGCAGAAGAGGAAAGUGGAAUUCCAUGUGUAGCGGUGAAAUGCGCAGAGAUAUGGAGGAACACCAGUGGCGAAGGCGACUUUCUGGUCUGUAACUGACGCUGAUGUGCGAAAGCGUGGGGAUCAAACAGGAUUAGAUACCCUGGUAGUCCACGCCGUAAACGAUGAGUGCUAAGUGUUAGGGGGUUUCCGCCCCUUAGUGCUGCAGCUAACGCAUUAAGCACUCCGCCUGGGGAGUACGACCGCAAGGUUGAAACUCAAAGGAAUUGACGGGGACCCGCACAAGCGGUGGAGCAUGUGGUUUAAUUCGAAGCAACGCGAAGAACCUUACCAAAUCUUGACAUCCUUUGACAACUCUAGAGAUAGAGCCUUCCCCUUCGGGGGACAAAGUGACAGGUGGUGCAUGGUUGUCGUCAGCUCGUGUCGUGAGAUGUUGGGUUAAGUCCCGCAACGAGCGCAACCCUUAAGCUUAGUUGCCAUCAUUAAGUUGGGCACUCUAAGUUGACUGCCGGUGACAAACCGGAGGAAGGUGGGGAUGACGUCAAAUCAUCAUGCCCCUUAUGAUUUGGGCUACACACGUGCUACAAUGGACAAUACAAAGGGCAGCGAAACCGCGAGGUCAAGCAAAUCCCAUAAAGUUGUUCUCAGUUCGGAUUGUAGUCUGCAACUCGACUACAUGAAGCUGGAAUCGCUAGUAAUCGUAGAUCAGCA